UACGAAGGGUGCAAGCGUUACUCGGAAUUACUGGGCGUAAAGGGUGCGUAGGUGGUCGUUUAAGUCCGUUGUGAAAUCCCUGGGCUCAACCUGGGAAUGGCAGUGGAUACUGGACGGCUAGAAUGCGGUAGAGGGUAGUGGAAUUCCCGGUGUAGCAGUGAAAUGCGUAGAGAUCGGGAGGAACACCAGUGGCGAAGGCGGCCAGCUGGGCCGACCCUGACGCUGAGGCGCGAAGGCGUGGGGAGCGAACGGG
Molecule: ribosomal RNA, 253 nt
Filed under: uncultured bacterium
Lineage: Bacteria
Description: partial 16S ribosomal RNA
Rfam family: Bacterial small subunit ribosomal RNA
Source: RNAcentral